GGGGUCGUUACGGAUUCGACAGGCAUUAUGUGGCAUAUUCUGCGACUCAUCGUGCGGAUGUAAAACGUCAGUUAAAUAUAACUGCAAAAAAUAACACUUCUUACGCUUUAGCUGCCUAAAAACCAGCGGGUGUGACUUCCUUGAAAUGGCUUGUGUUUUGAGUGAAGUCUUAUUUUAGCAAGCUACGUUUAAGUAUUGUCUAGCUACUUAAAAAGAGAUGAAUAGACUCGCUUAGUAUAGGGUUGAGCUAUGUGUCGAUACUGAGUUAAAUGAAGGCAUAGCCUAUAGUUGUAGACGAAUAUGAUGGCAGGUGUUUGGACGUGGGUUCGACUCCCACCGGCUCCAUUG
Molecule: non-coding RNA, 348 nt
Organism: Streptococcus agalactiae LMG 14747
Lineage: Bacteria; Bacillati; Bacillota; Bacilli; Lactobacillales; Streptococcaceae
Source: Rfam